RNAcentral lists this ribosomal RNA (422 nucleotides) under uncultured prokaryote. Its description in RNAcentral is "bacterial SSU rRNA". It matches the Rfam family "Bacterial small subunit ribosomal RNA", at positions 355 to 774 of the family's 1533-position model. The record is from RNAcentral.
UGAGGAAUAUUGGUCAAUGGACGCGAGUCUGAACCAGCCAAGUAGCGUGAAGGAUGACUGCCCUAUGGGUUGUAAACUUCUUUUAUAAGGGAAUAAAGUGAGGGACGUGUCCCUUUUUGUAUGUACCUUAUGAAUAAGGAUCGGCUAACUCCGUGCCAGCAGCCGCGGUAAUACGGAGGAUCCAAGCGUUAUCCGGAUUUAUUGGGUUUAAAGGGAGCGUAGGUUGACAUAUAAGUCAGCUGUGAAAGUUUACGGCUCAACCGUGAAAUUGCAGUUGAUACUGUAUGUCUUGAGUGUACAAGAGGUGGGCGGAAUUCGUGGUGUAGCGGUGAAAUGCUUAGAUAUCACGAAGAACUCCAAUUGCGAAGGCAGCUCACUGGGGUACAACUGACACUGAGGCUCGAAAGCAAGGGGAGCAAACA